This 253-nucleotide ribosomal RNA is filed under the name uncultured bacterium. RNAcentral describes it as "partial 16S ribosomal RNA". It matches the Rfam family "Bacterial small subunit ribosomal RNA", at positions 524 to 776 of the family's 1533-position model. The record is from RNAcentral.
UACGUAGGGUGCGAGCGUUGUCCGGAAUUAUUGGGCGUAAAGAGCUCGUAGGCGGCCUGUUGCGUCUGCUGUGAAAGCCCGGGGCUCAACUCCGGGUCUGCAGUGGAUACGGGCAGGCUAGAGUCCGGCAGGGGAGACUGGAAUUCCUGGUGUAGCGGUGAAAUGCGCAGAUAUCUGGAGGAACACCGGUGGCGAAGGCGGGUCUCUGGGCCGGUACUGACGCUGAGGAGCGAAAGCGUGGGGAGCAAACAGG